GCGGGAGUGCUGGAAUUGGCAGACAGGCAUGACUAAGGAUCAUGUGAAUGGAUUUUCGUGUGGGUUCAAGUCCCAUCUCCCGCAUCA
RNAcentral lists this transfer RNA (87 nucleotides) under Lachnospiraceae bacterium. Its description in RNAcentral is "tRNA-Leu". It matches the Rfam family "tRNA". From Rfam's summary of the family: Transfer RNA (tRNA) molecules are approximately 80 nucleotides in length. Their secondary structure includes four short double-helical elements and three loops (D, anti-codon, and T loops). The record is from RNAcentral. Lineage: Bacteria; Bacillati; Bacillota; Clostridia; Lachnospirales; Lachnospiraceae.